Molecule: ribosomal RNA, 249 nt
Filed under: Salmonella enterica
Lineage: Bacteria; Pseudomonadati; Pseudomonadota; Gammaproteobacteria; Enterobacterales; Enterobacteriaceae
Also listed under: 3 other names
Description: partial 16S ribosomal RNA
Rfam family: Bacterial small subunit ribosomal RNA
Source: RNAcentral
AAAUUGAAGAGUUUGAUCAUGGCUCAGAUUGAACGCUGGCGGCAGGCCUAACACAUGCAAGUCGAACGGUAACAGGAAGCAGCUUGCUGCUUCGCUGACGAGUGGCGGACGGGUGAGUAAUGUCUGGGAAACUGCCUGAUGGAGGGGGAUAACUACUGGAAACGGUAGCUAAUACCGCAUAAUGUCGCAGGACCAAAGAGGGGGACCUUCGGGCCUCUUGCCAUCAGAUGUGCCCAGAUGGGAUUAGCU